Molecule: ribosomal RNA, 1454 nt
Filed under: uncultured bacterium
Lineage: Bacteria
Description: bacterial SSU rRNA
Rfam family: Bacterial small subunit ribosomal RNA
Source: RNAcentral
GACNAACGCUGGCGGCGUGCCUAACACAUGCAAGUCGAGCGGAUUAUUUUGGUGUAGCAAUACAUCAGAAUAAUUAGCGGCGGACGGGUGAGUAACACGUAAACAAUCUACCUCCGAGACUGGGAUAACCCGCCGAAAGGUGGACCAAUACCAGAUGAGGCUCCGGAAACGCAUGUUUCUGGAAUCAAAGGGAACGCAAGAACCGCUUGGAGAUGAGUUUGCGGCCUAUCAGCUAGUUGGCGGUGUAAGAGACCACCAAGGCGACGACGGGUAGCUGGUCUGAGAGGACGACCAGUCACACUGGAACUGAGACACGGUCCAGACUCCUACGGGAGGCAGCAGUGAGGAAUUUUCCGCAAUGGGCGAAAGCCUGACGGAGCGACGUCGUGUGUGGGACGAAGGUCUUCGGAUCGUAAACCACUGUCAGAGGGGACGAAAUUGACUGUACCCUCAGAGGAAGCCCCGGCUAACUAUGUGCCAGCAGCCGCGGUAAUACAUAGGGGGCGAGCGUUGUCCGGAAUUACUGGGCGUAAAGCGCGCGUAGGUGGCUUGGUAAGUCAGGUGUGAAAGGCGGCAGCUCAACUGCCGUAUGUCAUCUGAGACUGCCGAGCUCGAGAUCAGGAGAGGGAAGCGGAACUACCGGUGUAGCGGUGAAAUGCGUAGAUAUCGGUAGGAACACCAGUGGCGAAGGCGGCUUCCUGGCCUGUUUCUGACACUGAGGUGCGAAAGCUCGGGGAGCAAACGGGAUUAGAUACCCCGGUAGUCCGAGCUGUAAACGAUGAUCACUAGGUGUAGGAGGUAUCGACCCCUUCUGUGCCGCAGCUAACGCGUUAAGUGAUCCGCCUGGGGAGUACGGCCGCAAGGCUAAAACUCAAAAGAAUUGACGGGGGCCCGCACAAGCGGUGGAGCAUGUGGUUUAAUUCGAUGCUACGCGAAGAACCUUACCUGGGCUUGAAAUGUUGGACGUAAAAUCCUGAAAGGGAAAUGACCCGUUAAAUCGGGAACCAACACAGGUGCUGCAUGGUUGUCGUCAGCUCGUGUCGUGAGAUGUUGGGUUAAGUCCCGCAACGAGCGCAACCCCUGGGAUUAGUUGCUACCCGCAAGGGAGAACUCUAAUCCGACUGCCAGUGAUAAACUGGAGGAAGGUGGGGACGACGUCAAAUCAUCAUGGCCCUUACGUCCAGGGCUACACACGUGCUACAAUGGCGCAGACAGUGGGAAGCAAGACCGCAAGGUGGAGCAAAUCCUCAAACUGCGCCUCAAUACGGAUUGUCGGCUGCAACUCGCCGGCAUGAAGCUGGAAUCGCUAGUAACCGCCGAACAGAAAUUGCGGCGGUGAGUACGUUCUCGGGCCUUGUACACACCGCCCGUCACACCAUGGAAGUUAGAAAUACCCGAAGCCUGUGCGCCAACCCUUUGGGAGGCAGCAGUCGAAGGUAGAGCUAGCAANGGGG